Acipenser ruthenus (sterlet) is the source of this 621-nucleotide non-coding RNA. The record is from the annotation of a RefSeq genome assembly. Lineage: Eukaryota; Metazoa; Chordata; Actinopteri; Acipenseriformes; Acipenseridae.
UUCAUGGCAACAGAAUCCACAACAACAAUGACUUUUAUCAGCAUCUUCAUCUGGGCACUUGUCAUCUGCACUCAGGAAUCCAGUGGACAGUAUACUGUGACUCAGACUCCAGCAGUGAAAUCUGUUCUCCCAGGAGACACAGUCGCUUUGAGCUGUAAAGUCAGCAGCGCAGUGUACAGUAACAACCGCCUAGCCUGGUACCAACAGAAACCCGGAGAAGCUCCCAAACUCCUGAUCUAUAGGGCAAGUAACCUUCAGUCUGGGAUCCCAACUCGUUUCAGUGGCAGUGGAUCUGGGACUGACUUCACUCUGACCAUCAGUGGAGUCCAGGCUGAAGAUGCAGGAGAUUACUACUGUCAGAGUUUCCACUACCCCGGCAGUAGCAGAGUGUUCACACAAAUCCACACCAGCCCUGUUGAACAGAGCCCAGUGGCACACAAGCCUUUAUCAGAGCACUGCCACUCCCCACACUGGAUCAGUGUCUCACUGUUUCUAAAUGACAUGUGGGAUUGGACACUGCACAGGACACUGGAGUGUCAGAGUGGCAAUCAGAUGAAGCAGGAGCCUGGAGACGUGUCAGAAACAUCAAACAGAGCCCUCACAAGCAGCACAGAAUGCUGA